AGAGUUUGAUCCUGGCUCAGGAUGAACGCUGGCGGCGUGCCUAAUACAUACAAGUCGAGCGAACGGACGAGAAGCUUGCUUCUCUGAUGUUAGCGGCGGACGGGUGAGUAACACGUGGAUAACCUACCUAUAAGACUGGGAUAACUUCGGGAAACCGGAGCUAAUACCGGAUAAUAUUUUGAACCGCAUGGUUCAAAAGUGAAAGACGGUCUUGCUGUCACUUAUAGAUGGAUCCGCGCUGCAUUAGCUAGUUGGUAAGGUAACGGCUUACCAAGGCAACGAUGCAUAGCCGACCUGAGAGGGUGAUCGGCCACACUGGAACUGAGACACGGUCCAGACUCCUACGGGAGGCAGCAGUAGGGAAUCUUCCGCAAUGGGCGAAAGCCUGACGGAGCAACGCCGCGUGAGUGAUGAAGGUCUUCGGAUCGUAAAACUCUGUUAUUAGGGAAGAACAUAUGUGUAAGUAACUGUGCACAUCUUGACGGUACCUAAUCAGAAAGCCACGGCUAACUACGUGCCAGCAGCCGCGGUAAUACGUAGGUGGCAAGCGUUAUCCGGAAUUAUUGGGCGUAAAGCGCGCGUAGGCGGUUUUUUAAGUCUGAUGUGAAAGCCCACGGCUCAACCGUGGAGGGUCAUUGGAAACUGGAAAACUUGAGUGCAGAAGAGGAAAGUGGAAUUCCAUGUGUAGCGGUGAAAUGCGCAGAGAUAUGGAGGAACACCAGUGGCGAAGGCGACUUUCUGGUCUGUAACUGACGCUGAUGUGCGAAAGCGUGGGGAUCAAACAGGAUUAGAUACCCUGGUAGUCCACGCCGUAAACGAUGAGUGCUAAGUGUUAGGGGGUUUCCGCCCCUUAGUGCUGCAGCUAACGCAUUAAGCACUCCGCCUGGGGAGUACGACCGCAAGGUUGAAACUCAAAGGAAUUGACGGGGACCCGCACAAGCGGUGGAGCAUGUGGUUUAAUUCGAAGCAACGCGAAGAACCUUACCAAAUCUUGACAUCCUUUGACAACUCUAGAGAUAGAGCCUUCCCCUUCGGGGGACAAAGUGACAGGUGGUGCAUGGUUGUCGUCAGCUCGUGUCGUGAGAUGUUGGGUUAAGUCCCGCAACGAGCGCAACCCUUAAGCUUAGUUGCCAUCAUUAAGUUGGGCACUCUAAGUUGACUGCCGGUGACAAACCGGAGGAAGGUGGGGAUGACGUCAAAUCAUCAUGCCCCUUAUGAUUUGGGCUACACACGUGCUACAAUGGACAAUACAAAGGGCAGCGAAACCGCGAGGUCAAGCAAAUCCCAUAAAGUUGUUCUCAGUUCGGAUUGUAGUCUGCAACUCGACUACAUGAAGCUGGAAUCGCUAGUAAUCGUAGAUCAGCAUGCUACGGUGAAUACGUUCCCGGGUCUUGUACACACCGCCCGUCACACCACGAGAGUUUGUAACACCCGAAGCCGGUGGAGUAACCUUUUAGGAGCUAGCCGUCGAAGGUGGGACAAAUGAUUGGGGUGAAGUCGUAACAAGGUAGCCGUAUCGGAAGGUGCGGCUGGAUCACCU
This 1540-nucleotide ribosomal RNA is filed under the name Staphylococcus aureus M13065. RNAcentral describes it as "16S ribosomal RNA". It matches the Rfam family "Bacterial small subunit ribosomal RNA". Lineage: Bacteria; Bacillati; Bacillota; Bacilli; Caryophanales; Staphylococcaceae. The record is from RNAcentral.